GAUGAACGCUAGCGGGAGGCCUAACACAUGCAAGCCGAGCGGUAUGGAUAGCUUGCUAUCCAGAGAGCGGCGUACGGGUGCGUAACACGUGUGCAACCUACCUUUAUCUGGGGGAUAGCCUUUCGAAAGGAAGAUUAAUACCCCAUAAUAUAUUGAAUGGCAUCAUUUAAUAUUGAAAACUCCAGUGGAUAGAGAUGGGCACGCGCAAGAUUAGAUAGUUGGUGAGGUAACGGCUCACCAAGUCUGUGAUCUUUAGGGGUCCUGAGAGGGAGAUCCCCCACACUGGUACUGAGACACGGACCAGACUCCUACGGGAGGCAGCAGUGAGGAAUAUUGGACAAUGGGUGAAAGCCUGAUCCAGCCAUCCCGCGUGAAGGAUGACGGUCCUAUGGAUUGUAAACUUCUUUUGUACAGGGAUAAACCUAUUCUCGUGAGGGUAGCUGAAGGUACUGUACGAAUAAGCACCGGCUAACUCCGUG
Molecule: ribosomal RNA, 479 nt
Filed under: uncultured bacterium
Lineage: Bacteria
Description: bacterial SSU rRNA
Rfam family: Bacterial small subunit ribosomal RNA
Source: RNAcentral